Molecule: ribosomal RNA, 83 nt
Filed under: Alyssum gallaecicum
Lineage: Eukaryota; Viridiplantae; Streptophyta; Magnoliopsida; Brassicales; Brassicaceae
Description: partial 18S ribosomal RNA
Rfam family: Eukaryotic small subunit ribosomal RNA
Source: RNAcentral
GAGAAGUCCACUAAACCUUAUCAUUUAGAGGAAGGAGAAGUCGUAACAAGGUUUCCGCAGGUGAACCUGCGGAAGGAUCAUUG